UGUGGCUUAGUGGUAGAGUGCAUGUCUCACAUGCAUGAAGCCCUGAGUUCAAUUCCUCAGUA
RNAcentral lists this transfer RNA (62 nucleotides) under Dipodomys ordii (Ord's kangaroo rat). It matches the Rfam family "tRNA", at positions 6 to 65 of the family's 71-position model. From Rfam's summary of the family: Transfer RNA (tRNA) molecules are approximately 80 nucleotides in length. Their secondary structure includes four short double-helical elements and three loops (D, anti-codon, and T loops). Further hydrogen bonds mediate the characteristic L-shaped molecular structure. tRNAs have two regions of fundamental functional importance: the anti-codon, which is responsible for specific mRNA codon recognition, and the 3' end, to which the tRNAs corresponding amino acid is attached (by aminoacyl-tRNA synthetases). tRNAs cope with the degeneracy of the genetic code in two manners: having more than one tRNA (with a specific anti-codon) for a particular amino acid; and 'wobble' base-pairing, i.e. permitting non-standard base-pairing at the 3rd anti-codon position. The record is from Rfam by way of RNAcentral. Lineage: Eukaryota; Metazoa; Chordata; Mammalia; Rodentia; Heteromyidae.